GAUCGUCAAGUCUAGGUAUAAGCAAUUUAUACAGCGAAACUGCGAAUGGCUCAUUAAAUCAGUUAUGAUCUACAUGACAAAUUUUUUACUACUGGAUAACCGUGGUAAUUCUAGAGCUAAUACAUGCAGAAAAGCCCUGACUUCGGAAGGGGUGCACUUAUUAGGUAAAAACCAUCCCACCUUUACCGGUGGUUUUAUGGUGACUCAUAAUAAUUAAGCUGAUCGCAUGGCCUUGAGCCGGCGACGGUACAUUCGAUUUUCUGCCCUAUCAGGCUUAUGAUGGUAAGGUAGUGGCUUACCAUGGCUAUCACGGGUAACGGGGAAUUAGGGUUCGAUUCCGGAGAGGGAGCCUGAGAAACGGCUACCACAUCCAAGGAAGGCAGCAGGCGCGCAAAUUACCCAAUACCGACACGGUGAGGUAGUGACAAUAAAUAACAAUGCAGGGUCUUUAUGGUCUUUGCAAUUGGAAUGAGUACAAUUUAAAUCCCUUAACGAGGAUCAAUUGGAGGGCAAGUCUGGUGCCAGCAGCCGCGGUAAUUCCAGCUCCAAAAGCGUAUAUUAAAGUUGUUGCAGUUAAAACGUCCGUAGUCGAACUUACGCCUUGUGGCUAUGCAGCUGGUCAUUCAUUUGGCUAGAUUUGUUUUAGCCCGGGUGAUAAAGUUUGGGUAUGAUCAUGUUGGCUUCGGUCGGUGUGGGUUCUCUGCCCAAGCGGUAUUACCAUGAGCAAAUCAGAAAUGCUCAAAGUAGGCCCUUCGUGCCCUGAAUGUGUAUAGCCAUGGA
RNAcentral lists this ribosomal RNA (780 nucleotides) under Lentamyces parricida. RNAcentral describes it as "SSU rRNA". It matches the Rfam family "Eukaryotic small subunit ribosomal RNA", at positions 47 to 813 of the family's 1831-position model. The record is from RNAcentral. Lineage: Eukaryota; Fungi; Mucoromycota; Mucoromycetes; Mucorales; Lentamycetaceae.